Molecule: ribosomal RNA, 637 nt
Filed under: Pycnoschema sp. DA-2012
Lineage: Eukaryota; Metazoa; Arthropoda; Insecta; Coleoptera; Scarabaeidae
Description: LSU rRNA
Rfam family: Eukaryotic large subunit ribosomal RNA
Source: RNAcentral
GGACCAAGGAGUCUAGCAUGUGCGCGAGUCAUUGGGACUCUACGAAACCUAAAGGCGUAAUGAAAGUGAAGGUCCGCCUUGCGCGGAACGAGGGAGGAUGGUCGAUCCUUCGAGAUCGACUCGCACUCCCUGGGCGUCUCGUUCUCAUUGCGAGAAGAGGCGCACCAAGAGCGUACACGCUGGGACCCGAAAGAUGGUGAACUAUGCCUGGUCAGGACGAAGUCAGGGGAAACCCUGAUGGAGGUCCGUAGCGAUUCUGACGUGCAAAUCGAUCGUCGGAACUGGGUAUAGGGGCGAAAGACUAAUCGAACCAUCUAGUAGCUGGUUCCCUCCGAAGUUUCCCUCAGGAUAGCUGGCGCUCGUGAGUCUCAUUCGGUAAAGCGAAUGAUUAGAGGCAUUGGGGUCGAAACGGCCUCAACCUAUUCUCAAACUUUAAAUGGGUGAGAUCUCCGGCUUGCUUGAACUGUGAAGCCGCGAGAUAUCGGAUCAGAGUGCCAAGUGGGCCAAUUUUGGUAAGCAGAACUGGCGCUGUGGGAUGAACCAAACGCUGAGUUAAAGCGCCUAAAUCGACGCUUAUGGGAUACCAUGAAAGGCGUUGGUAACUUAAGACAGCAGGACGGUGGCCAUGGAAGUCGGA